CAAUAGCGUAUAUUAAAGUUGUUGCAGUUAAAAAGCUCGUAGUUGAAUGUUGGUGUCGAACGAGCGGUCAGCUUCGGCUGUACUGCUCUCUCGACUCCUUCCUUCUGUGGACUACGUCGCACUUUACUGUGUGGCGCUAGGACGCAGAUCGUUUACUGUGAAAAAAUUAGAGUGUUCAAAGCAGGCCGUACGCUUGAAUACAUUAGCAUGGAAUAAUGGAAUAGGACGUCGGGCCUAUUUUGUUGGUUCUAGGACCGUCGUAAUGAUUAAUAGGGACAGUUGGGGCCGUUUAUAUUCCGUAGUCAGAGGUGAAAUUCUUGGAUUUACGGAAGAUAAACUACUGCGAAAGCAUUCGGCAAGGAUGUUUUCAUUGA
This 374-nucleotide ribosomal RNA is filed under the name uncultured eukaryote. RNAcentral describes it as "partial 18S ribosomal RNA". It matches the Rfam family "Eukaryotic small subunit ribosomal RNA", at positions 592 to 976 of the family's 1831-position model. The record is from RNAcentral.